AGUCGAACGCCCUCUUCGGAGGGAGUGGCAGACGGGUGAGUAACGCGUGGGAAUCUACCUAGUGGUGGAGGAUAACUUCGGGAAACCGGAGCUAAUACUCCAUAAGCCCUUCGGGGGAAAGUUUUUUCGCCAUUAGAUGAGCCCGCGUUAGAUUAGCUUGUUGGUAGGGUAAUGGCCUACCAAGGCGACGAUCUAUAGCUGGUCUGAGAGGAUGAUCAGCCACACUGGAACUGAGACACGGUCCAGACUCCUACGGGAGGCAGCAGUGGGGAAUAUUGCACAAUGGGCGCAAGCCUGAUGCAGCCAUGCCGCGUGUGUGAUGAAGGCCUUAGGGUUGUAAAACACUUUCAUCGGUGAAGAUAAUGACGGUAGCCGAAGAAGAAGCCCCGGCUAACUCCGUGCCAGCAGCCGCGGUAAUACGGAGGGGGCAAGCGUUGUUCGGAAUUACUGGGCGUAAAGCGCACGUAGGCGGACUGAUCAGUUGGGGGUGAAAUCCCGAGGCUUAACCUCGGAACUGCCUUCAAUACUGUCAGUCUUGAGAUCGGAAGAGGUGAGUGGAAUUCCUAGUGUAGAGGUGAAAUUCGUAGAUAUUAGGAAGAACACCAGUGGCGAAGGCGGCUCACUGGUCCGAUACUGACGCUGAGGUGCGAAAGCGUGGGGAGCGAACAGGAUUAGAUACCCUGGUAGUCCACGCCGUAAACGAUGAGAGCUAGCCGU
RNAcentral lists this ribosomal RNA (717 nucleotides) under uncultured bacterium. RNAcentral describes it as "bacterial SSU rRNA". It matches the Rfam family "Bacterial small subunit ribosomal RNA", at positions 60 to 823 of the family's 1533-position model. The record is from RNAcentral.